GUGGGGAAUAUUGGACAAUGGGGGGAACCCUGAUCCAGCCAUGCCGCGUGUGUGAAGAAGGCCUUUUGGUUGUAAAGCACUUUAAGCGAGGAGGAGGCUACCGAGAUUAAUACUCUUGGAUAGUGGACGUUACUCGCAGAAUAAGCACCGGCUAACUCUGUGCCAGCAGCCGCGGUAAUACAGAGGGUGCAAGCGUUAAUCGGAUUUACUGGGCGUAAAGCGCGCGUAGGUGGCCAAUUAAGUCAAAUGUGAAAUCCCCGAGCUUAACUUGGGAAUUGCAUUCGAGAGUGGUUGGCUAGAGUAUGGGAGAGGAUGGUAGAAUUCCAGGUGUAGCGGUGAAAUGCGUAGAGAUCUGGAGGAAUACCGAUGGCGAAGGCAGCCAUCUGGCCUAAUACUGACACUGAGGUGCGAAAGCAUGGGGAGCAAACAGGAUUAGAAACCCGGGUAGUCC
RNAcentral lists this ribosomal RNA (451 nucleotides) under uncultured bacterium. Its description in RNAcentral is "bacterial SSU rRNA". It matches the Rfam family "Bacterial small subunit ribosomal RNA", at positions 354 to 796 of the family's 1533-position model. The record is from RNAcentral.